UUUGGCCGCCCAUUUUGGGGWGMGAGAUCCCCCCCCAGCYCMUGRGAUGAUGCCCCCCAUUUUUUUCCGYGAAAAUGACUCCCCCAGCWKCUUGKRAGAUGGCCCAGAUCGUUUACCGUGAAAAAAUUAGAGUGUUCAAAGCGGGCAGAAACUUUUUCCUGCCACCGAAUACAUUAGCAUGGGAUAAUGGAAUAGGACCCUGACCUCCUAUUUUCAGUUGGUUUUGUUUACAGUGAGGUUCAUCAGGGUAAUGAUUAAUAGGGAUAGUUGGGGGCAUUAAUAUUUAAUUGUCAGAGGUGAAAUUCUUGGAUUUAUGAAAGAUUAACUUCUGCGAAAGCGUUUGCCAAGGAUGUUUUCAUUAAUCAAGAACGAAAGUUAGGGGAUCGAAGACGAUCAGAUACCGUCGUAGUCUUAMCCAUAAACGGAGUUAAUCCGUAC
RNAcentral lists this ribosomal RNA (438 nucleotides) under Acanthamoeba sp. RNAcentral describes it as "partial small subunit ribosomal RNA". Lineage: Eukaryota; Discosea; Longamoebia; Acanthamoebidae. The record is from RNAcentral.